RNAcentral lists this long non-coding RNA (444 nucleotides) under Linum usitatissimum (flax). Its description in RNAcentral is "long non-coding RNA (LUSI_LNC001960)". Lineage: Eukaryota; Viridiplantae; Streptophyta; Magnoliopsida; Malpighiales; Linaceae. The record is from RNAcentral.
UCCACAUUCUGUCAGUACUAAAGUAGUCUCCUUUAUCUUGUUAUCUUCUUCAUUGGAGGUGGUGGUGGUGGUGGUACAGUCAGAAGGGAAAAGAGAUGCAGGGGAAGCUGAUGAGAGAGUGAGUGAAGCAAUGUCUGCAUUCACCAUUGCCACCAUUGGUGAAGAACAAGAAGAUGUAUGAUGAGCUUCUGUUCUUUCUGGCCAUGGCUUCAUUGUUUGGUGUUCUGGUUUUGGAGCUCUGAGUAUGGGAAAAGGGGGUUUCUUUUUUGCUUAUCUGACAGAUGCUGUUAUGCAACUGUUAUAAAUAAAGGGUUGUGUAACUUAAACCCAAAAGGAUGAAGAUCUGGAGAAGGGUAUAUAUAUAUAAUGAAUGUUGUGGUAACAGAAACAAAAGGAAAUUUUGAAAGGCUAUGGAGAAAGCUUGGAAAUGGCAAAAUCAGGAAC